RNAcentral lists this long non-coding RNA (1211 nucleotides) under Suricata suricatta (meerkat). RNAcentral describes it as "lncRNA (ENSSSUG00005019994.1)". The record is from RNAcentral. Lineage: Eukaryota; Metazoa; Chordata; Mammalia; Carnivora; Herpestidae.
GAAGUGAAAUGUCAUCUUAGAAACACUGGAGGAGGGGGGCGUGCAGGGCCGGAGCUCCAAGCUUACGCCACAUCAGUCUGGCAGCCCUGCUCGCUCUCCAGCCCAGGCGUCCGUUGAGCCAGAGCGAGGCUGGAGCGAAGGGCUGUCGUCGGGCCGGACCGGCCAGCAUGAGCCUCGCCGGACCUGCCCGCCGCCUCCUAGAAGUGACCUCUUGCGUCUCAAAGCCCUGCGGCGCCACCUGCUUCCCCCGGCUGGUGACAGCCGGAGAAGAGAGGACCUGCCCAGGUCUCUCCUUUCCUGGCUGAAGUCCCCGUCCUGCUCCCGGCGGCUGCCACCACCCGCACCUGCAGUCCGUGUCCACCCGCAGCCCGCAGUGAAGACGUUAGAGGAACAGCAGCCAGAGACUCGACACCACUCAGCGAUGAAAAGUAUGGGCUCUGGAAAGUCAGAUGAACCUUAAUUUGAAUCUCAGCUCAACCACUUCCUAGAUGUGUGAUCCGGGUGCAGACUUUAUUCAAGCAAUUUCAGCUUUAAUUUCCUCGUGUGUCAAACAGGAGUACCAGUAACGUGGAUGUCAGGAGGUUGGCGGGCAGGGUCUAUGAAUGUAAGCUCCUGAAGCACAGAGAUUUUGUUCACUGUUAUAUCCCCAGUGCCCAGAAGAGUGUCUGCACAUAGUAGGUGCUUAAUCAAUAUUUGAAUGACUAAGUGCCUAUGAAGCAUUAGGAGCAGGGUCUGGCCACGAGGACUCAAUAUUGUGGCUUAUGACAAUGCACUUUACACACAAAGGUAUGGCGGCACAAAAGCAAUUGCCCUUGGGGCUUAGAGCCCCUGCGGAGCUGCUCUUUGUCACUACCUGAAUUCCCGCCCCCUCCCCAGCUGCCGGGGGUGGGGGAAGUGAAAGCAAAUUCUUAGCAGCCUCCAAGAACCAUAUAUCCUGAAAGAAAUCUGUGAAAGCCCACACUUCUGCUUCUAAUUCUAUCCCUACUUACAAUUCUUUCCGGGGCUCCUCCUUGGUUGCUUCAUCUCAAUAAAAAUGGUUCCAAAAGAAAGUCCACAUCCUGGGUGUGAGCCAGUUUUAGUUAAAAGACUCAGAAGACUUUAUCCGCCAAGGAAAAAAGUCUGAAAAAUCCAGAAGUUCAUGGUAGGCAGAGGUUCUCACUGAAAAACAGCAAUAACAAACAAAAAUAAAGGAAAUUAAAAACCCAAACACA